This 477-nucleotide ribosomal RNA is filed under the name uncultured Planctomycetales bacterium. Its description in RNAcentral is "bacterial SSU rRNA". It matches the Rfam family "Bacterial small subunit ribosomal RNA", at positions 365 to 832 of the family's 1533-position model. Lineage: Bacteria; Pseudomonadati; Planctomycetota; Planctomycetia; Planctomycetales. The record is from RNAcentral.
UUCGCAAUGCCCGAAAGGGUGACGAAGCGACGCCGCGUGUGGGAAGAAGGCCUUCGGGUUGUAAACCACUGUCGGGAGUUAAGAAAUGCAAGGAUAUGAAUAGUGUCUUUGCUUGACUAAGGCUCCGGAGGAAGCCACGGCUAACUCUGUGCCAGCAGCCGCGGUAAUACAGAGGCGGCAAGCGUUGUUCGGAAUUAUUGGGCGUAAAGAGCACGUAGGCGGCUUUGCAAGUCAGUUGUGAAAGCCUUCCGCUUAACGGAAGAACAGCAGCUGAUACUACAAGGCUUGAGUACGGAAGGGGAGAGUGGAACUUCUGGUGGAGCGGUGAAAUGCGUAGAUAUCAGAAGGAACGCCGGCGGCGAAAGCGACUCUCUGGCCCGUAACUGACGCUGAGUGUGCGAAAGCUAGGGGAGCAAACGGGAUUAGAUACCCCGGUAGUCCUAGCCGUAAACGAUGGGCACUAAGUAGAGGGGUUUU